This 1831-nucleotide ribosomal RNA is filed under the name human gut metagenome. RNAcentral's name for it is "bacterial LSU rRNA". It matches the Rfam family "Bacterial large subunit ribosomal RNA", at positions 1102 to 2925 of the family's 2925-position model. The record is from RNAcentral.
UGGCUUAGAAGCAGCCAUCAUUUAAAGAAAGCGUAAUAGCUCACUGGUCGAGUCGUCCUGCGCGGAAGAUGUAACGGGGCUCAAAUCUAUAACCGAAGCUGCGGAUGCCAGUUUACUGGCAUGGUAGGGGAGCGUUCUGUAGGCCAAUGAAGGUGCAUUGUAAAGUGUGCUGGAGGUAUCAGAAGUGCGAAUGUUGACAUGAGUAGCGAUAAAGCGGGUGAAAAGCCCGCUCGCCGAAAGCCCAAGGUUUCCUACGCAACGUUCAUCGGCGUAGGGUGAGUCGGCCCCUAAGGCGAGGCAGAAAUGCGUAGUCGAUGGGAAACAGGUUAAUAUUCCUGUACUUGAUUCAAAUGCGAUGUGGGGACGGAGAAGGUUAGGUUAGCAAGCUGUUGGAAUAGCUUGUUUAAGCCGGUAGGUGGAAGACUUAGGCAAAUCCGGGUCUUCUUAACACCGAGAAGUGACGACGAGUGUCUACGGACAUGAAGUAACCGAUACCACGCUUCCAGGAAAAGCCACUAAGCUUCAGUUUGAAUCGAACCGUACCGCAAACCGACACAGGUGGGCAGGAUGAGAAUUCUAAGGCGCUUGAGAGAACUCGGGAGAAGGAACUCGGCAAAUUGAUACCGUAACUUCGGGAGAAGGUAUGCCCUCUAAGGUUAAGGACUUGCUCCGUAAGCCCUGGAGGGUCGCAGAGAAUAGGUGGCUGCGACUGUUUAUUAAAAACACAGCACUCUGCUAACACGAAAGUGGACGUAUAGGGUGUGACGCCUGCCCGGUGCUGGAAGGUUAAUUGAAGAUGUGCAAGCAUCGGAUCGAAGCCCCAGUAAACGGCGGCCGUAACUAUAACGGUCCUAAGGUAGCGAAAUUCCUUGUCGGGUAAGUUCCGACCCGCACGAAUGGCGUAACGAUGGCCACACUGUCUCCUCCCGAGACUCAGCGAAGUUGAAGUGGUUGUGAAGAUGCAAUCUACCCGCUGCUAGACGGAAAGACCCCGUGAACCUUUACUGUAGCUUUGCAUUGGACUUUGAAGUCACUUGUGUAGGAUAGGUGGGAGGCUUUGAAGCAGAGACGCCAGUCUCUGUGGAGCCGUCCUUGAAAUACCACCCUGGUGUCUUUGAGGUUCUAACCCAGACCCGUAAUCCGGGUCGGGGACCGUGCAUGGUAGGCAGUUUGACUGGGGCGGUCUCCUCCCAAAGAGUAACGGAGGAGUUCGAAGGUUACCUAGGUCCGGUCGGAAAUCGGACUGAUAGUGCAAUGGCAAAAGGUAGCUUAACUGCGAGACCGACAAGUCGAGCAGGUGCGAAAGCAGGACAUAGUGAUCCGGUGGUUCUGUAUGGAAGGGCCAUCGCUCAACGGAUAAAAGGUACUCCGGGGAUAACAGGCUGAUUCCGCCCAAGAGUUCAUAUCGACGGCGGAGUUUGGCACCUCGAUGUCGGCUCAUCACAUCCUGGGGCUGUAGUCGGUCCCAAGGGUAUGGCUGUUCGCCAUUUAAAGUGGUACGUGAGCUGGGUUUAAAACGUCGUGAGACAGUUUGGUCCCUAUCUGCAGUGGGCGUUGGAAGUUUGACGGGGGCUGCUCCUAGUACGAGAGGACCGGAGUGGACGAACCUCUGGUGUACCGGUUGUAACGCCAGUUGCAUAGCCGGGUAGCUAAGUUCGGAAGAGAUAAGCGCUGAAAGCAUCUAAGCGCGAAACUCGCCUGAAGAUGAGACUUCCCUUGUGGUUUAACCACACUAAAGAGUCGUUCGAGACCAGGACGUUGAUAGGUGGGGUGUGGAAGCGCGGUAACGCGUGAAGCUAACCCAUACUAAUUGCUCGUGAGGCUUGACUCU